RNAcentral lists this ribosomal RNA (886 nucleotides) under uncultured bacterium. RNAcentral's name for it is "bacterial SSU rRNA". It matches the Rfam family "Bacterial small subunit ribosomal RNA", at positions 28 to 896 of the family's 1533-position model. The record is from RNAcentral.
AACGAACGCUGGCGGCGUGGCUAAGACAUGCAAGUCGAACGGACCAUCUAAUUGAGCAAUCGAAAGGGUGGUUAGUGGCGAAAGGGUGAGUAAUAGGUAGGUAACGUACCCUGUGCACCGGGAUAGCGUCAUACCCGCAAGGGUAUUUCCGAAAGGGGCGGUAAUACCGGAUAACGUCGUAGGUCGACGGACUUAUGACCAAAGAUUUAUCGGCACAGGAGCGGCCUACUUCCUAUCAGCUAGUUGGUGAGGUAACGGCCCACCAAGGCGAUGACGGGUAGCGGGACUGAGAGGUUGGCCCGCCACAUCGGGACUGAGACACUGCCCGGACCUCCACGGAGGGCUGCAGUAACGAAUAUUGGGCAAUGGGCGAAAGCCUGACCCAGCGACGCCGCGUGCGGGAGGAAGUUCUUCGGAAUGUAAAUCGCUUUAGGGGGAUAGAAAGCGUACUUCGGUACGUUGAUCGGCCCCAGAAUAAGUCACGGCUAACUUCGUGCCAGCAGCCGCGGUAAGACGAAGGUGGCAAGCGUUGUUCGGUAUCACUGGGCUUAAAGCGUGUGUAGGUGGGAGCGUAAGCAUUGGGUGAAAUCCCCCGGCUUAACCGGGGAAUUGCUUGAUGUACUGCGUUUCUUGAGGCAAGUAGGGGUGCGAGGAACUCUUGGUGGAGCGGUGGAAUGCGUAGAUAUCAAGAGGAACGCCGAUGGUGAAGACAUUGCACUAGGCUUGUCCUGACACUGAGACACGAAAGCGUGGGGAGCGAACGGGAUUAGAUACCCCGGUAGUCCACGCCGUAAACGAUGCCUACUAGGUUGUGGUGGUUCUGACGCCAGCACAGCCGAAGCAAAAGUGUUAAGUAGGCCGCCUGGGGAGUACGGUCGCAAGGCUA